CCUACGGGAGGCAGCAGUGAGGAAUAUUGGUCAAUGGGCGAGAGCCUGAACCAGCCAAGUCGCGUGAAGGAUGACGGCCCUACGGGUUGUAAACUUCUUUUGUCAGGGAGCAAUUGGUUCCACGCGUGGGCUUAGCGAUGGUCCCUGAAGACAAAGCAUGGGCUAACUCCGUACCAGCAGCCGGGGUAAUACGUAGGAUGGGGGCGUUCUCCGGUUUUAUUGGGUUAAAGGGAUGCGUAGUCGGAAGAUAAGGUCAGCGGUAAAAAUUCGGGGCUCAACCCGGUCGUGCCGUUGAAACUGGUGUUCUUGAGUGGGCGAGAGGUAGGCGGAAUGCGUGGUGUAGCGGUGAAAUGCAUAGAUAUCACGCAGAACUCCGAUUGCGAAGGCAGCAUACCGGCGCCCAACUGACGCUGAGGCACGAAAGCGUGGGUAUCGAACAGGAUUAGAUACCCGGGUAGUC
This 460-nucleotide ribosomal RNA is filed under the name uncultured bacterium. RNAcentral describes it as "partial 16S ribosomal RNA". It matches the Rfam family "Bacterial small subunit ribosomal RNA", at positions 338 to 795 of the family's 1533-position model. The record is from RNAcentral.